AGACGAGCAACUCUAUGAAGACGAGUCGGCAGUCAAUAAAGAAAGGAGGAAGGGAAGUGGAAAGGAUAGACGUCGAUGAUGAACGUUUUGAUAUGAUCUGGUAAAGAUCAUUCUUAAUAUUUCUGUAAAUAGGAUAUUACACAGUGACGUAUUUUUCAAUCACGAGAAAAUUGAAGUUUUCACUUUGGAUUCAAUGGGUUACGUAGAUUUUUAUUCUACACAGAAUUUCACGAUCAAGGUUACCCUUCUUAUUUGACUCUUGUGGAUUCUUAGCUCUGUUCCAAGCAAUAAGGUUAGGUUGGCCGAGCAUUAGGCAAUAUUAGACAGAUGACGUUCAACCCCAAACCAGAAGCAGGGUAAGUCUCACUCCCUUUACCUGUUCCUAAACAAAUUUAAUAAACCCACGAUUUCCGUGCCAAUUUCAACCCUUGGGAAGACGCCCGUGCCGUUUACUUUCCUUGGCCAAGUAUCGGUUCGUUUCGGUGUCUUCCUCGUUCCCUUGCGCCGUCAUCGUCAUCCCCUUAGAGUUGAAUUGAACGAGCUUUCCUGGGAUAAAUUUAUCUGUCGCUGUAAGGCCAGUGUUAUUUAACAGUCAAACGAGCAGCUUCUCAAAAGGAUCAGAGGGCUCACUACUCAAAAGGUGUUUUUACCAAGUUUUUCCUCGCGGACAACUGUAUUACUCCAGCCAACACUUUUCCCUAGGUGUAUUAGUCUUUGGAGUUAGGGAGUACGCAUGGACUUGAAUUUCCAGGCUCGCUCGCAUGGUUAACUUCGGCAAACAGAAAUUACCAUUUUAUUGGAAUGCUGACGACGUGCCUAUCAAGAUGGCAAUUUCACGUCAGAAGUGUACAAACUGUAUUUGCUGAAGGAUAUGAAAAAGGGCGGGAAAAAGGAAUCAAUUUGAAUAUACGUAAUACGUAGGUCAAAAGAGGAGCAGUACGUUUAAAUAUAAGCAAUCAACUUCAGACCAUCUGCAGACCCUUGGUGAUGUUCUCGACAUGUUCCUUAGCUCGAAGUCUUAAGGCUUGGAUACUGGAGGUACGAG
Cephus cinctus (wheat stem sawfly) is the source of this 1045-nucleotide long non-coding RNA. RefSeq lists it as uncharacterized. NCBI's taxonomy places the organism in Eukaryota, Metazoa, Arthropoda, Insecta, Hymenoptera, Cephidae. The transcript is spliced from 5 exons. The record is from RefSeq and is a predicted model, not a curated record.